AGAGUUUGAUCCUGGCUCAGGAUGAACGCUAGCGGGAGGCUUAACACAUGCAAGUCGAGGGGUAACAGGGGAGCUUGCUUCUGCUGACGACCGGCGAACGGGUGCGUAACGCGUAUGCAACCUACCUUAUACAGGAGGAUAGCCCGAAGAAAUUCGGAUUAAUACUCCAUUGUACAAUUUUAUCGCAUGGUAAGAUUGUUAAAGCUUUGGCGGUAUAAGAUGGGCAUGCGUGACAUUAGCUAGUUGGUAAGGUAACGGCUUACCAAGGCUACGAUGUCUAGGGGUUCUGAGAGGAUUAUCCCCCACACUGGUACUGAGACACGGACCAGACUCCUACGGGAGGCAGCAGUGAGGAAUAUUGGUCAAUGGGCGCAAGCCUGAACCAGCCAUCCCGCGUGCAGGAUGACGGCCCUAUGGGUUGUAAACUGCUUUUGUAUACCAAGAAAUAUAGCUACGUGUAGUUAUUUGACGGUAGUAUAUGAAUAAGCACCGGCUAACUCCGUGCCAGCAGCCGCGGUAAUACGGAGGGUGCAAGCGUUAUCCGGAUUUAUUGGGUUUAAAGGGUGCGUAGGCGGGUCUAUAAGUCAGUGGUGAAAGUUUGCGGCUCGACCGUAAAAUUGCCAUUGAUACUGUAGGUCUUGAGUACAGUUGAGGUAGGCGGAAUGUGUAAUGUAGCGGUGAAAUGCAUAGAUAUUACACAGAACACCGAUUGCGAAGGCAGCUUACUGGACUGUUACUGACGCUGAUGCACGAAAGCGUGGGGAGCGAACGGGAUUAGAUACCCUGGUAGUCCACGCCGUAAACGAUGAUAACUCGCUGUUGGCGAUAUAUAGUCAGUGGCUAAGGGAAACCGAUAAGUUAUCCACCUGGGGAGUACGCUCGCAAGAGUGAAACUCAAAGGAAUUGACGGGGGCCCGCACGAGCGGAGGAACAUGUGGUUUAAUUCGAUGAUACGCGAGGAACCUUACCUGGCUUAAAUGUAGAGUGCAUGAAGUGGAAACAUUUCUUUUCUUCGGAACUCUUUACAAGGUGCUGCAUGGUUGUCGUCAGCUCGUGCCGUGAGGUGUCGGGUUAAGUCCCAUAACGAGCGCAACCCCUAUCGUUAGUUGCUAGCAGGUCAUGCUGAGGACUCUAACGAGACUGCCGGUGUAAACCGAGAGGAAGGUGGGGAUGACGUCAAAUCAGCACGGCCCUUACGUCCAGGGCUACACACGUGUUACAAUGGUCGGUACAGAGGGCAGCUACUAGGUGACUAGAUGCUAAUCUCGAAAGCCGAUCUCAGUUCGGAUCGGAGUCUGCAACUCGAUUCCGUGAAGUUGGAUUCGCUAGUAAUCGCAUAUCAGCCAUGAUGCGGUGAAUACGUUCCCGGGCCUUGUACACACCGCCCGUCAAGCCAUGGGAGCCGAGGGUGCCUGAAGUUCGUAACCGCAAGGAGCGACCUAGGGUAAAACUGGUGACUGGGGCUAAGUCGUAACAAGGUA
This 1481-nucleotide ribosomal RNA is filed under the name metagenome. RNAcentral describes it as "bacterial SSU rRNA". It matches the Rfam family "Bacterial small subunit ribosomal RNA". The record is from RNAcentral.